This 974-nucleotide unclassified non-coding RNA is filed under the name uncultured fungus. Its description in RNAcentral is "sequence contains 18S rRNA gene, ITS1, 5.8S rRNA gene, ITS2, 28S rRNA gene". The record is from RNAcentral. Lineage: Eukaryota; Fungi.
UGAGCGGAUCGCACGCGAGACAACGCGCAACGCCCUGAGAUUCUUCGGCUUCGGGCCAUGAGGAACGCCCUCGCCGUCGCUCAGGUUCGACCUUAAUAAAUUCACUCAAGACAUUGUUUUAAUUAAAUAUAUGGAAACCUCUCCCGCCCGCACCUCGAUCGCCCGGACCUGGGACGAGUCCAUCGUUCCCGCGCUCAUGCAUUACGUCCGGAUCCCAAACAAGUCGCCUGCCUUCGAUCCGGACUGGGAAGCGCACGGGCACAUGGAGUCGGCCGUGCAAUUGAUGCGGCGCUGGGCGGAAAGCCAGGCCCUGCCCGGCAUGAAGAUCGAGGUGCUGCGACUGCCUGGGCGGACCCCCGUCCUGAUGCUCGACGUGCCAGGGCAGGUCGAUGACUGCGUGCUGAUGUACGGCCACCUCGACAAGCAACCGGAAUUCACGGGCUGGUCCGACGGGCUCGAGCCGUGGACGCCCGUGCUGCGCGACGGCAAGCUCUACGGUCGCGGCGGUGCCGACGAUGGGUACGCGCUCUUCGCGUCACUGACCGCUCUCAGGACGUUGCAUGAGCAGCGCGUGCCCCACGCCCGUGCCGUGAUCCUGAUCGAGGCGAGCGAAGAGAGCGGCAGCCCUGACCUGCCGUACCACAUGUCGACGCUUGGCGACCGCAUCGGCUCGCCGUCACUCGUUGUGUGCCUCGAUGCCGAGUGCGGCAACUACGAGCAGCUCUGGGCCACGACCUCGCUGCGCGGCAAUCUCAUCGUCCUGCUGCAGGUCGAGGUACUCACCGAGGGCGUGCACUCCGGCACGGCGAGCGGCAUCGUGCCGUCGAGCUUCCGCGUGCUGCGCGAGCUGCUCGCCCGGCUCGAGGACGCGAGUUCCGGCGCGAUCCUGCUCGAGGAGCUGAACGUCCCGAUCCCGCCGGAUCGCCGGGCGCAGGCACGUUCAGCGGCCGACGUGCUUGGUACGUCGGUGUUCG